GUAUCUCCCUCCCAGUCGGUGUGAGGUGGUUUUGUGUAAGCACACCUUUUAAAGGGGCUGCUGUUCUCACUGCUGUUCCUUGGUUUUUAUUGCAUCUUUUCCUCCGGGGCGUUUUGUCUCCGCAACAUUGCUUUGAGAGCAGAGGUGUCAGCACUCUCCAGCUCUAUUUUAAGCUUGGGUAGGAGCACACAUAAUAAUCCAAGGUAAUGGGCUGGAACCAGUAGGAUGGAGAUCAGUUCUAUCCUGACAGCCUUGGAUUCAACAAAAGCUGACCUCAGGUGCUGAAGAAAAGCCAGCGAGUGGACCACAUCCCUUUUGGGGCUGGCCGGAGCCAGGGCUUCCGAGGACAGCAGACCAAGAUGUGAGCUCUCAGCUGCUCCCGCACGCCUGCACCACCCGUGGACUCUAACCCUCCAGAACCGCAAGCCCCAAUUAAACGUUUCUUUCAUA
This is a long non-coding RNA of Mesocricetus auratus (golden hamster), 450 nucleotides long. RefSeq lists it as uncharacterized. NCBI's taxonomy places the organism in Eukaryota, Metazoa, Chordata, Mammalia, Rodentia, Cricetidae. The record is from RefSeq and is a predicted model, not a curated record. The transcript is spliced from 3 exons.